This 225-nucleotide long non-coding RNA is filed under the name Theobroma cacao (cacao). Its description in RNAcentral is "long non-coding RNA (TCAC_LNC000030)". The record is from RNAcentral. Lineage: Eukaryota; Viridiplantae; Streptophyta; Magnoliopsida; Malvales; Malvaceae.
AGAAUCAGGCGGUGGCGAAUCCCAGUUCGGAAUCGGACCCGAAAGUUCAGGCUGUGGAUUCAUCAGCGCCACCUGCGCCUGCACCAACACCGGCACCGGCACCAGCAUCAGCACCAGUGCAAGUUUCAGCUUCAGCUCCAGCUCCAGCUCCGACUCCAGCUGCACCAACUCUGCCUCAGUCAACUAGUGUGAUAUCCUCUUCAGUUUUGCCAAUUCGAAGUUCUG